RNAcentral lists this ribosomal RNA (253 nucleotides) under uncultured prokaryote. RNAcentral describes it as "partial 16S ribosomal RNA". It matches the Rfam family "Bacterial small subunit ribosomal RNA", at positions 524 to 776 of the family's 1533-position model. The record is from RNAcentral.
UACAGAGGUCUCAAGCGUUGUUCGGAUUCAUUGGGCGUAAAGGGUGUGUAGGUGGCGCGCUAAGUCGGGUGUGAAAUUUCGGAGCUUAACUCCGAAACUGCAUUCGAUACUGGCGUGCUUGAGGACUGGAGAGGAGACUGGAAUUCAUGGUGUAGCAGUGAAAUGCGUAGAUAUCGUGAGGAAGACCAGUUGCGAAGGCGACUCUCUGGGCAAUUCCUGACACUGAGGCACGAAGGCCAGGGGAGCAAACGGG